RNAcentral lists this ribosomal RNA (253 nucleotides) under uncultured bacterium. RNAcentral's name for it is "partial 16S ribosomal RNA". It matches the Rfam family "Bacterial small subunit ribosomal RNA", at positions 524 to 776 of the family's 1533-position model. The record is from RNAcentral.
UACGGAGGGUGCAAGCAUUAAUCGGAUUUAUUGGGCGUAAAGGGCGCGUAGGCGGGGAGAUAAGUCAGAUGUGAAAUCCCGGGGCUCAACCUCGGAACAGCAUUUGAAACUAUCUUUCUUGAGGGUAGGAGGAGAAAACGGAAUUCCACAAGUAGCGGUGAAAUGCGUAGAUAUGUGGAAGAACACCGGUGGCGAAGGCGGUUUUCUAUCUUAUUCCUGACGCUGAGGCGCGAAAGCAAGGGGAUCAAACAGG